UCAUCAGAUUUUGUACUUUGAGCCUCUGAAGUGGUUUUUAUUGGCCGUUUUUCUGGAAAAUGUGUCUGAUCAUGCAGAAAACGUUUAUUUAGGGACGGUGGUCAGAUGAAGCCGUUUAUCAUCACACAGUCUUAAUCAUGGCCCUCAAUGUUCAGCCUUAAGAAAUCAGGAAAGGGAUCUAAGUUAUGCAGAGGUUUGAAAAUGUCAAUCAGUCGUGUUCAAGCUCUGAUAAUGAAGUGGGAAAUUAGGGGUUCUGUUGAUGCCAAGACACAGUCAGGCCAUCAAAAGAUUUCAUCAACAACAGCCAGAAACACUGAUCAGGAUGCAAAGACAAACCCAGAAACAGCUUUGUCUGGAAUACAGGCUCCUCUGCAGAAAAGUGCACAAUAAACAACACAAAUCAGCCUGCCUCCGAUAUCCUAACAACAGCCAGACGAGCUGCAGCGAAGAGCCCAGAACAGAACUUCAUGGACUCGGCUGUGGGGCAGUAAAAUCUGAAUAAUUCCUUUUUGACUGAUCUGUGAUACGUUUGAGUCGUCGGCGUCUCAGCGGCUGGUGGAAAACUGGAGCUGCAGCCGUGGUUUCUUCAGCUUCUCUACAGUUUGCUUCCAUGAAAACUCACUGUGACGGCGUACAUGAUGGUUGUGAUCGUUGGCUACAGCUGGAGAAAGAAAGACCCACAGCAUGAUUGUGUUUGCACACUGAAUCCCUGCAGGCUGAGAAACGUCCUCCGCUCCCCCCAGAAACCCACCUCCUCAACUUCUCCUCACGCCCAGAGGCCCAGAUCCAAACUGAUCGGAUCAAAACCAGGACCCCGGCCUCUGAAGAUGAAACCAGUUAAAGCGCUUGUGAGAAAUCUGCCCGUUCAAGCCCAACGAGUUAACUUCAGAUGAACCACGAUGACGACGAGGCGCGAGAGUCCGCGGUGUAAUGUCCUUCAUGAGGGAGAUGGGAGUAACAACGCCGCCGACAUGUACAGGACACUGAAAAUACACCAAGUACGACAUUCAAAGUCUCUCUUGGACUUGGGGAAAGGAGUGCAGUUGUGGCAGGUAGCUUAUAAACAGCUCAGAACAGUUUCUCAGAGAGUUCGGGUCAGAAAGAGUCGAGGCGGAGCCGAGAUCCUUCCGGCAGCUUCUCUUUUUGUCCUCAGACUCCUUUGACCAGGACCACAGUCUGCCCGGCCGGCGCCUUCGGGGAGCAGUUGUCUGUGGUUUUGGCGUUGUCGGCACGCGGGCGCCGCAGGUUCAGGAAGCUGAAGCGUGCCUCCAGGCUGAAGCUCUUCUUGGUGCUGGGGGUGGCGCUGUUGUUGUUGGUGGUGGCCGGAGCGUUGUCCAGAUCUCCCUCUGCACCUUCUGCCCGGUCGCCUGCAGCACAGGAGAAGGUCGCAUUCUGGCGACGACGCUCCGCUGCACUCGCUGCGAGGCCCGAGCACCGGCGAGAUGAGGCCGAAGUCGGACAGCGACACGGUGGUGGGAAGGUCCAGGCUGCAGGGCCUGGACAGAGGAGACGGAGAGGAGGAGGAGGAGGAGGAGGAGGGAGUGGGUGACGGAGAGGCGGAGGAGGACGUGCAGGAGGAGGUGGAGGAGGAGCUGGCGAAGGGGCAGGGCGACAGGAGCUCCUGAGGGCUGCUGGGAGAUGAACCCAGGCUGCAGGUGGAGCGCGUCUCUGAGUCUUCCUCCGACAUGAUGCUGCUGCCGCCACAAGCCUCGUCAUCGAAACACACCGACGCAACUGCAGGAAGACAGAGGGAGGACGAAAGAGAGAAAGAAAAGAGGACAAAGGCAGGAAAGUA
Molecule: long non-coding RNA, 1795 nt
Organism: Chelmon rostratus (copperband butterflyfish)
Lineage: Eukaryota; Metazoa; Chordata; Actinopteri; Chaetodontiformes; Chaetodontidae
Exons: 6
Source: RefSeq, a predicted model, not a curated record